GGGGAGCGGCAGACGGGUGAGUAACGCGUGGGAAUCUACCCAUCACUACGGAACAACUCCGGGAAACUGGAGCUAAUACCGUAUACGUCCUUCGGGAGAAAGAUUUAUCGGUGAUGGAUGAGCCCGCGUUGGAUUAGCUAGUUGGUGGGGUAAUGGCCUACCAAGGCGACGAUCCAUAGCUGGUCUGAGAGGAUGAUCAGCCACACUGGGACUGAGACACGGCCCAGACUCCUACGGGAGGCAGCAGUGGGGAAUAUUGGACAAUGGGCGAAAGCCUGAUCCAGCCAUGCCGCGUGAGUGAUGAAGGCCCUAGGGUUGUAAAGCUCUUUCAACGGUGAAGAUAAUGACGGUAACCGUAGAAGAAGCCCCGGCUAACUUCGUGCCAGCAG
This 389-nucleotide ribosomal RNA is filed under the name Mesorhizobium sp. Its description in RNAcentral is "bacterial SSU rRNA". It matches the Rfam family "Bacterial small subunit ribosomal RNA", at positions 90 to 514 of the family's 1533-position model. Lineage: Bacteria; Pseudomonadati; Pseudomonadota; Alphaproteobacteria; Hyphomicrobiales; Phyllobacteriaceae. The record is from RNAcentral.